RNAcentral lists this long non-coding RNA (395 nucleotides) under Struthio camelus australis. Its description in RNAcentral is "lncRNA (ENSSCUG00000008419.1)". The stretch from base 138 to 276 matches the Rfam family "Rhabdomyosarcoma 2 associated transcript conserved region 8". The record is from RNAcentral. Lineage: Eukaryota; Metazoa; Chordata; Aves; Struthioniformes; Struthionidae.
UUUUCAUUGUGCUCCGUGGAGUAGAACGGGAAACAGGGAAUUACGGUGUAGUGUCUUCAAGUUCUGGUUCACAAGUACCUCCGUGACAGUACAAGGAGAGCUGUCAAUAAGGAAUGGAGGCUAAUAACGAAGGAGUCAGUGAAGGAGACCAAUGCCAUGAGGGUUAUCUUGCAGCCCCAGAUGCUGGAUAAGUUGAAGGAGGCAGACUCGCUUUUGGAUGACAUUCAGGAAGGCCUUGAAUGAUUAUUUGGCGAAGAAAAGGCUAUUCUUUCCAAGGUUUUUGUCUUGAUGCAACAAAGAUCGCUCAGGAAUCCUUUUUGACACAAAGGAUCCACUCCACGUCCAACCACACCUAAAGAAAUGCUUUGAAGGAGUUGCCAAGCUCACUUUUAAUC